Molecule: ribosomal RNA, 369 nt
Filed under: uncultured organism
Description: partial 16S ribosomal RNA
Rfam family: Bacterial small subunit ribosomal RNA
Source: RNAcentral
GAAGGGGGCAAGCGUUGUUCGGAAUCACUGGGCGUAAAGCGCGCGUAGGCGGGUUAUUAAGUCAGGGGUGAAAUCCCGAGGCUCAACCUCGGAGCUGCCUUUGAUACUGAUGACCUAGAGUCCGGGAGAGGUGAAUGGAACUCCUAGUGUAGAGGUGAAAUUCGUAGAUAUUAGGAAGAGCACCAGUGGCGAAGGCGAUUCACUGGCCCGGUACUGACGCUGAGGCGCGAAAGCGUGGGGAGCAAACAGGGAUUAGAUACCCUGGUAGUCCACGCCGUAGACGAUGAAUGCUAGCUGUCGGUCGGCAUGCCGUUCGGUGGCGCAGCUAACGCAUUAAGCAUUCCGCCUGGGAGUACGGUCGCAAGAUUA